RNAcentral lists this long non-coding RNA (590 nucleotides) under Phoenix dactylifera (date palm). Its description in RNAcentral is "long non-coding RNA (PDAC_LNC014053)". Lineage: Eukaryota; Viridiplantae; Streptophyta; Magnoliopsida; Arecales; Arecaceae. The record is from RNAcentral.
UAUUCACCCUUUGUUUAAUAUUAUUAAAUUCCCAUUUUGCCCCUAACACUUCAACAUAUCUACUGUUAUGCCAUUAACUUUUGAUUCCUUCCAAUUUUACCCCUUAUAUCAAUUUUAAAGGACUAUUCUAUCCCUUUUUAUAUAAAAAAAUAUUUUGGAAUUAUUACAUCUUCCCCCCUUAUAUAAAAUUCGUCCUCGAAUUUAAAAGAGUAAAUUACCUGAUUACUCAAUGAGGUGAGGGUAUUUGCUCUUCAUACUUUGCUCCGACUCCCAAGUGCAUUCUUCAACAUUGUGCCGGUGCCAUUGGACCUUCACCAUACAUAUUUCCUUAUUUCUUAGCUUCCUGAUCUGAGUAUCAAGGAUAGCUACAGGAAGUUCUUCAUAAGAAAGGUCUUCCUCUACUGUAACUUCCUGCACUGACAGCACAUGGGAUGGAUCUGGCACAUACUUCCGGAGCAUAGAUAUAUGGAAUACUAGAUACACAUGGCUGAGGUUUGGAGGCAGUGCUAAUCUAUAAGAUACAGUGCCAACCUUGUCUAAUAUCUCAAAGAGGCCAAUGUAUCUGGGACUAAGUUUGCCUCUUUUUCCAA